RNAcentral lists this ribosomal RNA (500 nucleotides) under uncultured bacterium. Its description in RNAcentral is "partial 16S ribosomal RNA". It matches the Rfam family "Bacterial small subunit ribosomal RNA", at positions 30 to 523 of the family's 1533-position model. The record is from RNAcentral.
AUUGAACGCUGGCGGCAUGCCUUACACAUGCAAGUCGAACGGCAGCACGGGAGCAAUCCUGGUGGCGAGUGGCGAACGGGUGAGUAAAGUAUCGGAACGUGCCCAGUCGUGGGGGAUAACGUAGCGAAAGUUACGCUAAUACCGCAUACGAUCUAUGGAUGAAAGCGGGGGAUCGCAAGACCUCGCGCGAUUGGAGCGGCCGAUAUCAGAUUAGGUAGUUGGUGGGGUAAAGGCUCACCAAGCCGACGAUCUGUAGCUGGUCUGAGAGGACGACCGUCCACACUGGGACUGAGACACGGCCCAGACUCCUACGGGAGGCAGCAGUGGGGAAUUUUGGACAAUGGGCGAAAGCCUGAUCCAGCCAUGCCGCGUGCAGGAUGAAGGCCUUCGGGUUGUAAACUGCUUUUGUACGGAACGAAAAGGUUUGGGCUAAUAAGCUGAGCUCAUGACGGUACCGUAAGAAGAAGCACCGGCUAACUCUGUGCCAGCCGCCGCCGUAA